CAGACAUGGAACACCAUAUAUUUAUUGGCAAAGCUGUCUCCAUUUAUUUGGCGUCUAUUUCUUAUUUGCCCAAAUAACAUUC
This 82-nucleotide small nucleolar RNA is filed under the name Mesocricetus auratus (golden hamster). Its description in RNAcentral is "Small nucleolar RNA SNORA24 (ENSMAUG00000002615.1)". It matches the Rfam family "Small nucleolar RNA SNORA24", at positions 46 to 131 of the family's 131-position model. Rfam says of the family: ACA24 is a member of the H/ACA class of snoRNA that guide the sites of modification of uridines to pseudouridines. The record is from RNAcentral. Lineage: Eukaryota; Metazoa; Chordata; Mammalia; Rodentia; Cricetidae.